CAGAGGUAAUCAAGUUACUGAGAGGACUUUCUAGGAGGGUUGAAAUAUGUCCACAGAGUUUUGGCUUGGGAUUGAAGAGCAAAGAGGAGAAAGGCUGCACUGGGAGUCAUCACUCAGCCUUGGUGAAUUGUUUUGAUUAGAGAGAGAGAGGUCUUUGAGAUGGUUUGCAGUGAGAGCGUCAUGGUUUGUGCAGGCAGGCAGUAUUCUUUUUGUCUUUUUAUUGGGCCAAGGACAUCUACAGAUUUUAUCAAUAGGUGCAUAAAAAUUUGUAGAUGGGG
RNAcentral lists this long non-coding RNA (278 nucleotides) under Homo sapiens (human). RNAcentral's name for it is "HSALNT0011335". Lineage: Eukaryota; Metazoa; Chordata; Mammalia; Primates; Hominidae. The record is from RNAcentral.